Long non-coding RNA from Chanos chanos (milkfish), 439 nucleotides. RefSeq lists it as uncharacterized. The record is from RefSeq and is a predicted model, not a curated record. NCBI's taxonomy places the organism in Eukaryota, Metazoa, Chordata, Actinopteri, Gonorynchiformes, Chanidae. The transcript is spliced from 4 exons.
ACUGGGGCUGCGUUGGUGCUCGGACGGGUGAUCUGUUGCUCCCGUAGUCCUUAGUCACAAUCCGACAAAAUGGUCAUCUAUAGGGACAUCAUCGGUGCUUAUGACCACGGCUGAGGGACAUGUUGACAAGCGUGUUGUCCAGGUGAAGGUACAGCCGCCUCAAGACUUCGGAACGUGGACGUUGUCCUCAGCCGCAACCCAAAGGACACUCUGGGUGUCAAGACAUUGUGACCUGCGUCCGUCAAAGGCCAAAUGAAAGAGCUAAACCGGAGGGGGCCGGUCCCCGACGGAGUGGAGCAUCUCCUGAGAGAGAACUUCACAAAAUUCUCAGCAAGAGCAAACAGUCAGUGUUUCGCUGGUGAACCGUGGGAACUGUGCGUGUGCUGAUCCUCCUCAGCGCUUCAGGGAUGUCAGCGUCUCCUUCUUGCUUUACCACCAA